Molecule: ribosomal RNA, 253 nt
Filed under: uncultured bacterium
Lineage: Bacteria
Also listed under: 1 other name
Description: partial 16S ribosomal RNA
Rfam family: Bacterial small subunit ribosomal RNA
Source: RNAcentral
GACGAACCUCCCAAACGUUAUUCGGAAUCACUGGGCUUAAAGGGUGCGUAGGCUGCGUAGUUAGUCGGGUGUGAAAUCCCCCAGCUUAACUGAGGAAUUGCGCCCGAUACUGCUGCGCUGGAGGGAGACAGAGGUAAGCGGAACUGAUGGUGGAGCGGUGAAAUGCGUUGAUAUCAUCAGGAACACCAGUGGCGAAAGCGGCUUACUGGGUCUCUUCUGACGCUGAGGCACGAAAGCUAGGGGAGCAAACGGG